AGGAAAGGGAGGGAUUCGACC
Molecule: transfer RNA, 21 nt
Filed under: Elaphoglossum huacsaro
Lineage: Eukaryota; Viridiplantae; Streptophyta; Polypodiopsida; Polypodiales; Dryopteridaceae
Description: partial tRNA-Ser
Source: RNAcentral